UUAUUGGAGAGUUUGAUCCUGGCUCAGGAUGAACGCUGGCGGCGUGCCUAAUAUAUGCAAGUCGAGCGAAUGGAUUAAGAGCUUGCUCUUAUGAAGUUAGCGGCGGACGGGUGAGUAACACGUGGGUAACCUGCCCAUAAGACUGGGAUAACUCCGGGAAACCGGGGCUAAUACCGGAUAACAUUUUGAACCGCAUGGUUCGAAAUUGAAAGGCGGCUUCGGCUGUCACUUAUGGAUGGACCCGCGUCGCAUUAGCUAGUUGGUGAGGUAACGGCUCACCAAGGCAACGAUGCGUAGCCGACCUGAGAGGGUGAUCGGCCACACUGGGACUGAGACACGGCCCAGACUCCUACGGGAGGCAGCAGUAGGGAAUCUUCCGCAAUGGACGAAAGUCUGACGGAGCAACGCCGCGUGAGUGAUGAAGGCUUUCGGGUCGUAAAACUCUGUUGUUAGGGAAGAACAAGUGCUAGUUGAAUAAGCUGGCACCUUGACGGUACCUA
RNAcentral lists this ribosomal RNA (500 nucleotides) under Bacillus cereus. Its description in RNAcentral is "bacterial SSU rRNA". It matches the Rfam family "Bacterial small subunit ribosomal RNA", at positions 1 to 481 of the family's 1533-position model. Lineage: Bacteria; Bacillati; Bacillota; Bacilli; Caryophanales; Bacillaceae. The record is from RNAcentral.